GCUCUUUUGUCAGGGAAGAAACGGUGGUCUCUAAUACAGGCUGCUAAUGACGGUACCUGAAGAAUAAGCACCGGCUAACUACGUGCCAGCAGCCGCGGUAAUACGUAGGGUGCAAGCGUUAAUCGGAAUUACUGGGCGUAAAGCGUGCGCAGGCGGUUUUGUAAGUCUGUCGUGAAAUCCCCGGGCUCAACCUGGGAAUGGCGAUGGAGACUGCAAGGCUAGAGUUUGGCAGAGGGGGGUAGAAUUCCACGUGUAGCAGUGAAAUGCGUAGAUAUGUGGAGGAACACCGAUGGCGAAGGCAGCCCCCUGGGUCAAGACUGACGCUCAUGCACGAAAGCGUGGGGAGC
Molecule: ribosomal RNA, 347 nt
Filed under: uncultured beta proteobacterium
Lineage: Bacteria; Pseudomonadati; Pseudomonadota; Betaproteobacteria
Description: bacterial SSU rRNA
Rfam family: Bacterial small subunit ribosomal RNA
Source: RNAcentral